Molecule: long non-coding RNA, 651 nt
Organism: Solenopsis invicta (red fire ant)
Lineage: Eukaryota; Metazoa; Arthropoda; Insecta; Hymenoptera; Formicidae
Exons: 3
Source: RefSeq, a predicted model, not a curated record
GUUGAGCCAGUUGAAUGUAGUGGUCAGUGGUAGUGGUGUAAUACGAGUACUUUGCAAGUGCCGUGUCCUUAUAUGUAAUAUUUUUACAUUGAAUUUUAGUAUUUUACAUAAUAUCGGAUCUCCGUGGAUAAAAAAACCUCAGGAAAUUGUGGAAUAAUAUUGCCAAACAUUGGUAAAUUAGAACAUCUGGUUCAACAGCUAUUAUCAAGGUCGUAGAGUAUAAAGGAAAUUGUGGAAUAAUAUUGCCAAACAUUGGAAACAGUACGAGAGCAAGCAUUUCAUAUCUUAUUGUUAACAGACCUCGCAUAUUUUAUUUUAUAAGUUCUCUCAAAGAGGUGGAUGGACGGUUCGUUUUAUGAACAUAUACCUAUAAAAUAUGUUAGAUAUUUGCAUAUAUUGCUAAUUGAAAAAACUAUCAUUUACUUACAUUUAAAUUAAAAUUUUAGAAUAUACAAUCUCUAAUUAUUAUAGGCUUAAUUCUACAAAAAAUGUAUGUAUUUUUAACUUCAAAAUCUUUGUAACUAAAUUUUGAAUUAGAAUUUUAUUAAAGUAAAAUUCACUUGAAAAUAAUAUCAAAGUAUUAAUUGUGUACAUGUUAAUUUUUCUUUUAACCACGUUGCGAUUUACCACCAGCCAUUCACUGCAGUGCUU